AUGCAAGUCGAGCGAGAAAGGGCUUCGGCCCCGGUAAAGCGGCGCACGGGUGAGUAACACGUAGGUAAUCAACCCUCGAGUGGUGGACAACUCUCCGAAAGGAGAGCUAAUACAGCAUGACGAUGCGAUUUUCCGAAAUCGUAUCCAAAGCGGGCCUCUUCAUGAAAGCUCGCGCUUGGGGAUGAGCCUGCGGCCCAUCAGCUAGUUGGAGGGGUAACGGCCCACCAAGGCGAAGACGGGUAGCUGGUCUGAGAGGAUGAACAGCCACACUGGAACUGAGACACGGUCCAGACUCCUACGGGAGGCAGCAGUCGGGAAUCUUCCGCAAUGGGCGCAAGCCUGACGGGGCGACGCCGCGUAAGCGAUGAAGGCCUUCGGGUUGUAAAGCUCUGUGGGGAGGGAAGAAUAAGUUCAAGCCAACACCUUGAAUGAUGACGGUACCUCCUUAGCAAGCACCGGCUAACUCUGUGCCAGCAGCCGCGGUAAGACAGAGGGUGCAAACGUUGUUCGGAUUUACUGGGCGUAAAGCGCGUGUAGGCGGCUUUGCAAGUCGGAUGUGAAAGCCCACGGCUCAACCGUGGAAGUGCAUCCGAAACUGCAUGGCUGGAGUCCCGGAGAGGAAGGUGGAAUGCUUGGUGUAGAGGUGAAAUUCGUAGAUAUCAAGCAGAACACCUGCGGCGAAGGCGGCCUUCUGGACGGUGACUGACGCUGAGACGCGGAAGCGUGGGGAGCAAACAGGAUUAGAUACCCUGGUAGUCCACGCCGUAAACGAUGAGUGCUAGGUGUCACGGGCUUUGACCCUCGUGGUGCCGUAGCUAACGCAAUAAGCACUCCGCCUGGGGAGUACGGCCGCAAGGCUAAAACUCAAAUGAAUUGACGG
RNAcentral lists this ribosomal RNA (880 nucleotides) under uncultured bacterium. RNAcentral's name for it is "bacterial SSU rRNA". It matches the Rfam family "Bacterial small subunit ribosomal RNA", at positions 55 to 916 of the family's 1533-position model. The record is from RNAcentral.